This is a long non-coding RNA of Chenopodium quinoa (quinoa), 1346 nucleotides long. RefSeq lists it as uncharacterized. NCBI's taxonomy places the organism in Eukaryota, Viridiplantae, Streptophyta, Magnoliopsida, Caryophyllales, Amaranthaceae. The record is from RefSeq and is a predicted model, not a curated record. The transcript is spliced from 2 exons.
AUGGCGUCAAGGGUUUAGGGAAGCAGCAGUAGAACAGGGGAAAGAGGAAGAAGAUGAGUGAUCGUUUAUUUUUUUUUUUUGUACUUAAUGCUGUUGGUUGGGCUUGGAGGGAGGAGUAAUGAAUGGGGGGGGGCAUUUUAGUCAACCAAAGUCAGACCCAAAACGCUUUCAUUAACGUUUGUUUAACGUCAUGCUUACUGUAGUAAUUUAGGUAAAAGUUUAGGGGUACCACUGAUAAUGAAAGUUUAAUGAUGUGUACCAUUGAUAAAAGUCAAAACCUGGGGGAUACCAUUGAUAAUAUCCCUUUUAUUUUUUUGCAAUUUUGCAUGCAUGGUUUGGUUUGGUAGCCUAGCACGGUGUCUGUGUGACAUCCUCCUGCAAUCUUGCACCAUCUCUGCAAACCUACAAAUUUACCCCAAUUUCUCAAAUCUCAAAGAAAAAACCUGAAUUCGUACUACACAAUAAACACAAGCUAAAUUUUCAGUAAUACCCCCCAAUUUUACUCUGCUUCUUACCCAUUUUCACUCUCAGAACUGCAAUUUUGCUCUUACAGGACUCAAUUACUGCAACUUCUGCUUCUUUUUCCUUCCACUUUCUUCAAUGGCCCUCCAUAAGAUGAAGAUAUUCAAUUCUGUUGCCAGCAAGAUUGUGUGCACCGUGAAAUCUUCUCAACACUUCAGCAAACGUGGAUUCUGUAGCUUCUACGGUGAGUCAACAGAGGCCAAGAACGUGAAUGUCUUCAUGAAACAGGGCCCACAGAAAUCCAUGGAGUCGUGGGAAGAAGAUGGAUCGCUUCGAUUUUGGUUUGAUGUUCCAGGAGUCCCAAAAGAGAAAGUGAAGCUGGAGGUUGUAGGGAAUACAUUGUCUUUUGAAGCUGAAGCAGUGGAGAUUCCAUGCGAUGAGGGAAUUCGGGCUUACUACUCUUCCAUUGAGCUGAACCCAAUAUUUUACAAUCUAGCCAAAGUCCAGGUAGAACUACUACAUGGAGUUCUCUACAUCAACAUUCCUAUCCAUUCCUCUCCCUAAAUUUUAUCGUGCCCCGAGUUUGUGAAAUGGUAGCCUAUCUUCUAUGCAUUGUAGUACUUGAAAUGUAAAUACACAACAAAUUUUUAUCCGCAAUCAGAGUUAAAACUGAAAAUUCUGUCUCAUAGACCCUGUUAGAACCCCAAAAUUUUAUGCUCCUCUUCUAAAACGUUUCUGUGGCAUGUUCUUUGUAUUACGAAAUAUUAGUUCAGCUCUCCAUUGCUGGACUGUUCUUGUACGUACACUGAUUAAGGGAAAUCUUUCAGUCUGCAGUAACCUGAUUUGGAAGCUGAUGCUGAAAAUGGGAAGAAUUUUUGAAAUCA